RNAcentral lists this ribosomal RNA (253 nucleotides) under uncultured bacterium. RNAcentral describes it as "partial 16S ribosomal RNA". It matches the Rfam family "Bacterial small subunit ribosomal RNA", at positions 524 to 776 of the family's 1533-position model. The record is from RNAcentral.
UACGAAGGGGGCUAGCGUUGUUCGGAAUCACUGGGCGUAAAGGGCGCGUAGGCGGCUUUAUAAGUCGGGGGUGAAAGCCUGUGGCUCAACUCCAGAACUGCCUUCGAUACUAAGAGUCUCGAGUCCGGGAGAGGUGAGUGGAACUGCGAGUGUAGAGGUGAAAUUCGUAGAUAUUCGCAAGAACACCAGUGGCGAAGGCGGCUCACUGGCCCGGUACUGACGCUGAGGUGCGAAAGCGUGGGGAGCAAACAGG